RNAcentral lists this ribosomal RNA (376 nucleotides) under uncultured Thermoprotei archaeon. RNAcentral's name for it is "bacterial SSU rRNA". It matches the Rfam family "Archaeal small subunit ribosomal RNA", at positions 344 to 722 of the family's 1478-position model. Lineage: Archaea; Thermoproteati; Thermoproteota; Thermoprotei. The record is from RNAcentral.
AAACCUCAGCAAUGCGGGAAACCGUGACUGGGCCAUCCCGAGUGCCAGCCGCUAAGGUUGGCUUUUGCCCAGAGCAGCAAUCUGGGAGAAUAAGCGGGGGGCAAGACUGGUGUCAGCCGCCGCGGUAAUACCAGCUCCGCGAGUGGUCGGGACGAUUAUUGAGCCUAAAGCGCUCGUAGCCUGCUCGGCUAGUCCUGUGAUAAAUCCGACGGCUUAACCGUCGGGCUACAUGGGAUACUGCCGGGCUAGGGAGCGGAAGAGGCCAGGGGUACUCCCAGGGUAGGGGCGAAAUCCUAUAAUCCCGGGAGGACGACCAGUGGCGAAGGCGCCUGGCUAGGACGCGUCCGACGGUGAGGGGCGAAAGCUGGGGGAGCGA